GAUGGCCUCGCGUCCGAUUAGCUAGUUGGUGAGGUAAUGGCCCACCAAGGCGACGAUCGGUAGCCGGACUGAGAGGUUGAACGGCCACAUUGGGACUGAGACACGGCCCAGACUCCUACGGGAGGCAGCAGUGGGGAAUAUUGCACAAUGGGGGAAACCCUGAUGCAGCGACGCCGCGUGGAGGAAGAAGGUCUUCGGAUUGUAAACUCCUGUUGUUGAGGAAGAUAAUGACGGUACUCAACAAGGAAGUGACGGCUAACUACGUGCCAGCAGCCGCGGUAAAACGUAGGUCACAAGCGUUGUCCGGAAUUACUGGGUGUAAAGGGAGCGCAGGCGGGAAGACAAGUUGGAAGUGAAAUCCAUGGGCUCAACCCAUGAACUGCUUUCAAAACUGUUUUUCUUGAGUAGUGCAGAGGUAGGCGGAAUUCCCGGUGUAGCGGUGGAAUGCGUAGAUAUCGGG
RNAcentral lists this ribosomal RNA (460 nucleotides) under uncultured Lachnospiraceae bacterium. RNAcentral's name for it is "bacterial SSU rRNA". It matches the Rfam family "Bacterial small subunit ribosomal RNA", at positions 224 to 701 of the family's 1533-position model. The record is from RNAcentral. Lineage: Bacteria; Bacillati; Bacillota; Clostridia; Lachnospirales; Lachnospiraceae.